GGGGAUGUAGCUCAGCUGGGAGAGCACCUGCUUUGCAAGCAGGGGGUCGCCGGUUCGAGUCCGGUCAUCUCCACCA
Molecule: transfer RNA, 76 nt
Filed under: Pseudomonadota bacterium
Lineage: Bacteria; Pseudomonadati; Pseudomonadota
Also listed under: 1 other name
Description: tRNA-Ala
Rfam family: tRNA
About the family: Transfer RNA (tRNA) molecules are approximately 80 nucleotides in length. Their secondary structure includes four short double-helical elements and three loops (D, anti-codon, and T loops).
Source: RNAcentral